CGUGGAGUGAUCUGUCUGGUCUAUUCCGAUAACGAGCGAGACUCUAGUCUACUAAAUAGUACAGGCAUAGCUUCGUGUCUGCGACUUCUUAGAGGGAUCAACGGCGUUUAGCCGAAAGAAAUUGAGCAAUAACAGGUCUGUGAUGCCCUUAGAUGUCCGGGGCUGCACGCGCGCUACACUGGCAAAAUCAGCGUGACUCCUGCUUCGAGAGGAGUGGGCAAACCGAUGAAAAUUUGCCGUGAUUGGGAUCGGAGAUUGCAAUUAUUCUCCGUGAACGAGGAAUUCCAAGUAAGUGCGAGUCAUCAACUCGCGUUGAUUACGUCCCUGCCCUUUGUA
RNAcentral lists this ribosomal RNA (336 nucleotides) under Nematodes sp. OTU293. Its description in RNAcentral is "SSU rRNA". It matches the Rfam family "Eukaryotic small subunit ribosomal RNA", at positions 1300 to 1664 of the family's 1831-position model. The record is from RNAcentral. Lineage: Eukaryota; Metazoa; Arthropoda; Insecta; Coleoptera; Eucnemidae.